AGUGAACGCUGGCGGUAGGCCUAGCACAUGCAAGUCGAACGGCAGCACAGUAAGAGCUUGCUCUUACGGGUGGCGAGUGGCGGACGGGUGAGGAAUACAUCGGAAUCUACUUUUUCGUGGGGGAUAACGUAGGGAAACUUACGCUAAUACCGCAUACGACCUACGGGUGAAAGCAGGGGAUCUUCGGACCUUGCGCGAUUGAAUGAGCCGAUGUCGGAUUAGCUAGUUGGCGGGGUAAAGGCCCACCAAGGCGACGAUCCGUAGCUGGUCUGAGAGGAUGAUCAGCAACAAUGGAACUGAGACACGGGCCAGACUCCUACGGGAGGCAGCAGUGGGGAAUAUUGGACAAUGGGCGCAAGCCUGAUCCAGCCAUACCGCGUGGGUGAAGAAGGCCUUCGGGUUGUAAAGCCCUUUUGUUGGGAAAGAAAAGCAGCAGGUUAAUACCCCGCUGUUCUGACGGUACCCAAAGAAUAAGCACCGGCUAACUUCGUG
RNAcentral lists this ribosomal RNA (492 nucleotides) under uncultured bacterium. Its description in RNAcentral is "partial 16S ribosomal RNA". It matches the Rfam family "Bacterial small subunit ribosomal RNA", at positions 29 to 507 of the family's 1533-position model. The record is from RNAcentral.